This 441-nucleotide ribosomal RNA is filed under the name uncultured bacterium. Its description in RNAcentral is "bacterial SSU rRNA". It matches the Rfam family "Bacterial small subunit ribosomal RNA", at positions 30 to 507 of the family's 1533-position model. The record is from RNAcentral.
AGUGAACGUUGGCGGCGUGGAUUAGGCAUGCAAGUCGAGCGAUCGUAGCAAUACGGGAGCGGCAAACGGGGUAGGAAUACAUCGGAACGUACCCUCUGGUCGAGGAUAGCGUCGGGAAACUGACGGUAAUACUCGAUAAAGUCGAGAGACCAAAGGUUUACUGCCGGAGGAGCGGCCGAUGCGAUAUUAGGUAGUUGGUGGGGUAACGGCCUACCAAGCCUGAGAUGUCUAGGGGGUGUGAGAGCAUGGCCCCCACCACUGGGACUGAGAAACUGCCCAGACACCUACGGGUGGCUGCAGUCGAGGAUCUUCGUCAAUGGGCGAAAGCCUGAACGAGCGACGCCGCGUGCGGGAUGAAGGCCCUUGGGUUGUAAACCGCUGUCAGGGGGAUGAAACCGCAAGGUUGACAGAGCCCCAGAGGAAGCACGGGCUAAGUUCGUG